RNAcentral lists this ribosomal RNA (421 nucleotides) under uncultured bacterium. RNAcentral's name for it is "partial 16S ribosomal RNA". It matches the Rfam family "Bacterial small subunit ribosomal RNA", at positions 360 to 773 of the family's 1533-position model. The record is from RNAcentral.
AAUAUUGGACAAUGGGGGCAACCCUGAUCCAGCCAGGCCGCGUGUGUGACGAAGAUCUUCGGAUUGUAAAGCAAUUUCAGUUGGGCGGAAGGGCAGUAAGUUAAUACCUUGCUGUUUUGACGUUACCUACAGAAUAAGCACCGGCUAACUUCGUGCGAGCAGCCGCGGUAAUACGAAGGGUGCAAGCGUUCAUCGGAAUUACGUGGCGUAAAGCGCGCGUAGGUGGUUUGUUAAGUUGGAAGUGAAAGCCCUGGGCUCAACCUGGGAACUGCUUUCAAAACUGGCAAGCUAGAGUAUGGCAGAGGGUGGUGGAAUUUCCUGUGUAGCGGUGAAAUGCGUAGAUAUAGGAAGGAACACCAGUGGCGAAGGCGACUACCUGGACUGAUACUGACACUGAGGUGCGAAAGCGUGGGGAGCAAAC